Pomacea canaliculata is the source of this 521-nucleotide long non-coding RNA. RefSeq lists it as uncharacterized. The record is from RefSeq and is a predicted model, not a curated record. Lineage: Eukaryota; Metazoa; Mollusca; Gastropoda; Architaenioglossa; Ampullariidae. The transcript is spliced from 6 exons.
GAAACAUUGUACUUCCGUCGCCCUCUUAAUAGCACGUGACUUCCUCCUUCUCGUUCUUUCCUCUCACGUUGGUGGAGCCGGUCGGACCAGAGCCUAUAGUAGAAUGGAGAAUCUUCAGAUGAUAUCGUUCAUAAAUGAACUCACAAUGAAAGAAGGCUUUGCUAAUCAUUUAGCAGGUCUUUGUGCAUUUAGGAACAGCUGGCUCAGGCUUUCACAUAGAAGAGGUGGUGACUUGGCCGGCACAUGAAAACUGCACUUGGUUUGCUACUGACAGGUGACAGCAUACCAAGUCAGCUCUUGCUCAUGGUUGGUGUAAGAGUGCCUUCUAAUUCAUGAGGUGGAAUGUGUCAAAAGUAAAGGUGUCAUUCUUCAAGUGAUGUGCCAAAUCCUUAGAGGUGUGUUCACUGGGGAGAGUUCAGCUUGCAGCAUCAAAAAGAAGAGCUAUUGUGAUGUCCUACUUCACAAAUUAAGCCAUUGCAAUGAUAACAAUUUUUAUUGCAUUAAAAAGAUGUUAAAAUGUU